UCGGGGGCGCUGGUGUCACUUUCCAGCCGCUCGGGGACCUCGGCCUCUGGCUCCUGAGGCCCCAUCGCCGCCUUCCCAGGGCAAGAGAUGUUGUGGAGUGAAGAGACGAAGGAUUGCUGUCUUAGAAAAACUCCUUUGAACUGAGGAAAGACUGUGAAGAAGCUGCAUACAUGUCUUAGAUCUCUGAGAAGACCACAAUCCAACAAUGAAUUCUACUCAACUUCCCAGGAUAACUUCUUGAUGCAAAGGAAGAGCCUUUGCUGAUUCAAAUGAGAUUCCAAAUGUUUCUUCCCUCUCCAAGUAUCCUUAUACUCAGUGAAAUCAAGGAAGGAUUCACUUUCAGACUAUGGUCUUAUAAUCUAGUGAGCAGAAAUUAUAAGGCCUUUACAAGGCAUUACAAGGCAAGCAGAAAGAGAAAAAGGAAUAAAUCUCUAAGAAUGAGAUUCUAAAUACUUUGUCUUGUAUCAAAUUAACUACCUUGAGUAUUUGUACCAAGAAUCAUCCAAAUACAUCUGAAGAAAAAUGAAGUUGUUUUCAUUUCAAAGAGGUUU
Molecule: long non-coding RNA, 551 nt
Organism: Onychomys torridus (southern grasshopper mouse)
Lineage: Eukaryota; Metazoa; Chordata; Mammalia; Rodentia; Cricetidae
Exons: 3
Source: RefSeq, a predicted model, not a curated record